GUGAGGAAUUUUCCGCAAUGGGCGAAAGCCUGACGGAGCAAUGCCGCGUGAAGGAUGAAGGCCUAUGGGUUGUAAACUUCUUUUCUCAGAAAAGAAUUAUGACGGUAUCUGAGGAAUAAGCAUCGGCUAACUCUGUGCCAGCAGCCGCGGUAAGACAGAGGAUGCAAGCGUUAUCCGGAAUGAUUGGGCGUAAAGCGUCUGUAGGUUGUUUAAAAAGUAUUCUGUCAAAGAUUAGGGCUUAACCCUAGAUAGGCAGAAUAAACUUUUAAGCUAGAGUUUGGUAGAGGCAGAGGAAAUUCCCGGUGGAGCGGUGAAAUGCGUAGAUAUCGGGAGGAACACCAAAGGCGAAGGCACUCUGCUGGGCCAAUACUAACACUGAGAGACGAAAGCGAGGGGAGCAAAUGGGAUUAGAUACCCUAGUAGUCC
Molecule: ribosomal RNA, 426 nt
Filed under: uncultured bacterium
Lineage: Bacteria
Description: bacterial SSU rRNA
Rfam family: Bacterial small subunit ribosomal RNA
Source: RNAcentral